AGGGGCAACUCUGUUGAGUGGCGCACGGGUGAGUAACACGUAGGUAAUCUUCCCCCGAGUGGUGGAUAACCUUCCGAAAGGAGGGCUAAUACAGCAUAAGACCACGGUUUCGAAAGAGACUGAGGUCAAAGCGGAGGAUCGCAAGACUUCGCGCUUGGGGAUGAGCCUGCGGCCCAUCAGGUAGUUGGCGGGGUAAUGGCCCACCAAGCCUAAGACGGGUAGCUGGUCUGAGAGGAUGAUCAGCCACACUGGAACUGAGACACGGUCCAGACUCCUACGGGAGGCAGCAGUGGGGAAUCUUGCGCAAUGGACGAAAGUCUGACGCAGCGACGCCGCGUGGGUGACGAAGGCCUUCGGG
RNAcentral lists this ribosomal RNA (358 nucleotides) under uncultured bacterium. RNAcentral's name for it is "bacterial SSU rRNA". It matches the Rfam family "Bacterial small subunit ribosomal RNA", at positions 75 to 422 of the family's 1533-position model. The record is from RNAcentral.